RNAcentral lists this ribosomal RNA (497 nucleotides) under uncultured bacterium. RNAcentral describes it as "partial 16S ribosomal RNA". It matches the Rfam family "Bacterial small subunit ribosomal RNA", at positions 28 to 507 of the family's 1533-position model. The record is from RNAcentral.
GAUGAACGCUGGCGGCGUGCCUAAUACAUACAAGUCGAGCGAACAGACGAGGAGCUUGCUCCUCUGACGUUAGCGGCGGACGGGUGAGUAACACGUGGAUAACCUACCUAUAAGACUGGGAUAACUUCGGGAAACCGGAGCUAAUACCAGAUAAUAUAUUGAACCGCAUGGUUCAAUAGUGAAAGACGGUUUUGCUGUCACUUAUAGAUGGAUCCGCGCCGCAUUAGCUAGUUGGUAAGGUAGCGGCUUACCAAGGCGACGAUGCGUAGCCGACCUGAGAGGGUGAUCGGCCACACUGGAACUGAGACACGGUCCAGACUCCUACGGGAGGCAGCAGUAGGGAAUCUUCCGCAAUGGGCGAAAGCCUGACGGAGCAACGCCGCGUGAGUGAUGAAGGUCUUCGGAUCGUAAAACUCUGUUAUUAGGGAAGAACAAAUGUGUAAGUAACUAUGCACGUCUUGACGGUACCUAAUCAGAAAGCCACGGCUAACUACGUG